Molecule: ribosomal RNA, 465 nt
Filed under: uncultured bacterium
Lineage: Bacteria
Description: partial 16S ribosomal RNA
Rfam family: Bacterial small subunit ribosomal RNA
Source: RNAcentral
CCUACGGGUGGCAGCAGUAGGGAAUCUUCCGCAAUGGGCGAAAGCCUGAUGCAGCGACGCCGCGUGAGUGAUGAAGGUCUUCGGAUCGUAAACCUCUGUUAGUAGGGAAGAACGGUCACUGUGCUAACUAGCCGUGAAUCGACGGUACCUGCUAAGGAAGCACCGGCUAACUACGUGCCAGCAGCCGCGGUAAUACGUAGGUGGCGAGCGUUAUCCGGAAUUAUUGGGCGUAAAGCGCACGUAGGCGGUCUGUUAAGUCUGAUGUGAAAUCCCUGGGCUUAACCGGAGAAGUGCCUUAGAAACUGGCAAACUGGAGUGUAGAAGAGGAGAGUGGAAUUCCAGGUGUAGGGGUGAAAUGCGUAGAUAUAUGGAAGAACAUCAGUGGCGAAGGCGGCUAUCUGGGACGUAACUGACGCUGAGGUGCGAAAGCGUGGGUAGCAAACAGGAUUAGAUACCCUAGUAGUC